CAGAAGCCAGAUUUGAAAAAGUAAGAAAAAGAAAUGAAUUCACAGGGAUAUGCAGUUGUUUCCUUCAUAGUUUUCUUGGGCAACCAUGCAAAUCAUUAUGAACAAGGACUUUCCUGUUGCAGAAAAUUGUGACAAAAGCAACAUCAGUGCAACGAUUGAAAAUAACCUUCUUUAUGUUAAACAACCAAAACUAAUAACUUCAGCAGAGA
Molecule: long non-coding RNA, 209 nt
Filed under: Nicotiana benthamiana
Lineage: Eukaryota; Viridiplantae; Streptophyta; Magnoliopsida; Solanales; Solanaceae
Description: long non-coding RNA (NBEN_LNC000985)
Source: RNAcentral